This 429-nucleotide ribosomal RNA is filed under the name Bacillota bacterium. Its description in RNAcentral is "Firmicutes bacterium partial 16S ribosomal RNA". It matches the Rfam family "Bacterial small subunit ribosomal RNA", at positions 355 to 776 of the family's 1533-position model. Lineage: Bacteria; Bacillati; Bacillota. The record is from RNAcentral.
UAGGGAAUCUUCCACAAUGGACGCAAGUCUGAUGGAGCAACGCCGCGUGAGUGAAGAAGGUUUUCGGAUCGUAAAGCUCUGUUGUUGGUGAAGUAGGAUAGAGGCAGUAACUGGUCUUUAUUUGACGGUAAUCAACCAGAAAGUCACGGCUAACUACGUGCCAGCAGCCGCGGUAAUACGUAGGUGGCAAGCGUUGUCCGGAUUUAUUGGGCGUAAAGCGAGCGCAGGCGGAAUGAUAAGUCUGAUGUGAAAGCCCACGGCUCAACCGUGGAACUGCAUCGGAAACUGUCAUUCUUGAGUGCAGAAGAGGAGAGUGGAAUUCCAUGUGUAGCGGUGGAAUGCGUAGAUAUAUGGAAGAACACCAGUGGCGAAGGCGGCUCUCUGGUCUGCAACUGACGCUGAGGCUCGAAAGCAUGGGUAGCGAACAGG